RNAcentral lists this non-coding RNA (142 nucleotides) under Acidobacteriota bacterium. Lineage: Bacteria; Pseudomonadati; Acidobacteriota. The record is from RNAcentral.
GAAGUGGGUGUGAAGCCCACGCGGUGCCGCCACUGUAAGCGGAAAGACGAAUCCCCCGCGCCGGCUCGGCCGGCGGCCACUGUGGACCAUGCGGGUCCAUGGGAAGGCCGGGGAUUCGCGCACCAAUCCGCAAGCCAGGAUA